Xenia sp. Carnegie-2017 is the source of this 841-nucleotide long non-coding RNA. RefSeq lists it as uncharacterized. The transcript has 2 exons. Lineage: Eukaryota; Metazoa; Cnidaria; Anthozoa; Malacalcyonacea; Xeniidae. The record is from RefSeq and is a predicted model, not a curated record.
GAAAAUAUUUCUGAAAUGUAAAUUUAAUAUACAAAAAUUUCCGAUAACAAGAACAGGAAAUUAACAAAUUGCACCAUCAUGAAACAGCAUGACAAAGCUUCAUGUCGGCAAAAAUAUAAGUGAAUUUUAUGUUUGCUUGCUCCGCGCAUAAAAAAGACAGAGAUAUGAGUAUUCUUUAUCUCGUUUCGUUUUUAUGGGUACUUUCGAUUGAUUUGUCAGCCAUGGCGGCUGUUCAUUCGUGUCCAGACGGUAGUUAUUACAGUAACAAUACUGCUGAGUGUGUGCAAUGUGAUGGAAAAUGCACGAAUCAGACUAUUUCAGACAAAGAACGGUGUAGGCUGGCGUGCAGUUCCAUGUCUAAAUCUGAAAAAGAAGAAAAAUCAGAAAUUAAUUAUGGUCUUGUAAUUGGUCUGCCGGUCAUUUUGGGGAUUGGAUUUUUGGUUCUUUUGUUUUGUCUUGUGGUUGCUUGCUGUCGCAGGUCUUGGCCAUGUUGGAAAAAUCCUCUCACUUCUACAAGUUUACAAGGUGCAUAAUUGCUAACCUUAUCUUAGUUAUUUCAUAGCUUUAUCUCAUAUUAUAUAUAGUUAGUGAUAAUUAUACCAAAUAUAUACUUUGUUUUUGGGAAACUGCUCUAAAAACAUUUCAAAGAACAAUUCACUCUUUACACUUUAUCCUCAAACAAAGGGAUACAAUAUUUGUAUAGGAGUUUUAUGUUUCAAAUUAUUUUCAUUUGUAAAUAAUUAAUUAUCUUUUUAUAUUAUGAUUGAAUUAUGAAUACCUACAUAAUAUAUUUAUUCAAUAUAUACUUUUGAAAAAAUAAAUGGUGUUUCAUACAUCUAAA